GGUUUAUUGGUGAUUCCAGUUUUCUCCUCUGGGGGUUGUUGAUAGGCUUUUGUCAUUUUUCUGUUUUUCUUAAUUGUAUCUAGGAAUUCUUUACACAGAGAUGCCACAAAGUUUAACUUUGGCCUCAGUACUCAGGAAAAGAUAUACUUGGUUUCAGCCUUGGCUUCAGGCUUUGAAAGACAGAGUAACAAAUAGCUACUUCUUUUCUGGCCCCUUCAUCAUCUGCUUGUUCAAUGGAGCUUAGGCCAGAGUCUUUCAAGAAAAAAAGUCUUAUUAGAGAAGUCUUCAUAUCUCGUGAGGAUGAAUUAAAAGCAGAAUCUCAACUUUGCUACCUUUAAAUGUCACGGAGAGAAAAAACUGCAAAACCAUGUGCAACAAUAUCCAUGAUAAAUCAUCUUUGAUCUCAACAUAACGGAGACUAUAAGGAGUAUAAAGACUAGAAGAAAGAGUAGAAGGUGAUCCACAAUCAAUUCAGAACCUGGUCUUCUAUGGUGGCUCACAGUUCCUGCACCCUACAAUAUCGUGGUAAUGAUGAAAGCUAGCCAUCUUGUUUAUUACAUGUUUCUCAGUACUUAAAUAUGGAGUCAGAAUUCUUUCACCACCGUGGGACUCCCAGGCCCCUCACUGUGGUACUUCUGUUGCUGGCACCUGGAAAGCCUGUUAGAGCACCUAGAAAGCCUGUACCUCUGUUGGGAGUGCACAUCUACUACUUCGAGUUGCCUUCUCCAUAUCUGUUAUCUUGGCCUACUGGUGACUUUCCAUCAGUCAUGUUAAGUUGCCAAAUAUGGUACCUAGAAUAUCAUAGAUUCUUAAUAAGUACUAUGAGAAUCAAUAUAGACAUAAUAAGCAAAAUCAAAAUCUUUAUCAUCUUAUUAGAUAUGGAAAAAAACUACAGAUACGAUGCAAUAAAAUUCCAACUGGACAAAUGCGUCAUUUACUUCAGGACUCUCUUAAAAGCAGCACAUUUUAAUUUUGGUCACUUUUUUCUGUUAGAAUAAUUUCCUUCAUAUUUAGCCAAAUUCUGCCUCCUUACCAUUUUUCCAGCAAGUCCCAUUUGUCCCAUGUAUGUUUUCAGAGUAAGUAUAAACAUAUUUUUUCCUACAUGAGCCCUUCAAGUAUUUAAAUAUCUUUAUCUCUUCUUUAUGUCUUUUCUUCUUUUAUCAUCUUUUAUUACACAAUUCAUUUUCCAGACAUUUUAAUUUCAUGUGGCCACCUUCAGAGUACAUCAUAUCCUAAUUCCUUUUAUAAUACGUGUUAUUUAGAAUCUAAAAGCAUCCCUUUUCUGGCCUGACUGCCUAAGGACCAUAGGAUUACCAUCUCCCUUAUUGUUUCCAGAACUAUGCAUCUUGAAAUCCACCUCAGUUUGCACACAGCAUUUAUCCACUACAAUUUGCCCAUUUAUGACUAAUAUUGAGCUUUUGCUUUUUACCUAGCAGUUUGAACAUGUCUCUACUGUGUGAUCCUUGUACUGUAAACCAGUCUUUAGUUUGCACAGGAGUGUACGAGAUCCUUGAGUGGAGAGACAACUCACUCUCCACCUAUAAAUUCCUAAAUUCUAAUGUAAAGAAAUUUGCAGGUCAUUCUAAACGCUUAAUGACUGAAUGACAAAUAAAUGAAAGACCUAGUUUUUAAAUACAAACUAUUUUGAAUAUGUUUAUCACUAUUUUACCUACGCAACUCCAUUUUUGCUCCUAAGCACGGAAUUGUAUCGUUUUGUUGUUGUUUAAAGAUCUGAAGUGCACAUAAUUCAGUUAAUGACACUCCAUAGUUCAUGGCACACAAUUGUCAUUGGCCAAGGCCAGACUUUUCAUUUGUUGCUAUCAAAAUUUAGCAUGGUAUCUUGGACUCAUUACUCCUGCUUCUUGUAAUUUGAUUCCCUGUGAUUAACUGUCUCACACAGCUUUGUAUUAUUUGCAAUUUUGUUAAGAGGAGAAAGAGGAUUAAGAUACAGGAAACAACAACAAAGAGUAAAUGAUAUAUUAAGUUCUGAAUUGUAAGCUACAGAUUUUAAAUGCUCGCAGAAUUUGGCAAAGAGGUAGAACUUGAACAUGUGAACUAGAUAAGAAAAGAAUAGAAUCACUGAGAUGUGAGCUCAGUUAAGAAGGCUGGGUGGGAUUUGGGUAAGUAGAAAAGAAAGGAACUUGUGAGAAAAGGAGAAAAAAGAAGCAGCUCUGUUUGUUUGCCAUAGGAAGUGGGAAGUGGCAAGAUAAUCAUUUGGAUAGUUGGAAUCAGGAUCUCUCUUCUUUCUGACCCUCUCUCUAUUAAUGUAGAUAAAGUAAGAGACAUUGUCAAGAUGAAUUUUGCCUUGCAUCUACAGCUUUCCGAUAUAAGUUUGCAAUUUUUAAAUUUGUAUUAGCAAAAAAUACAAAGAGAGAGGCGGGCAGUGCUGGUAGGACGUGGAGUAGUAAAGAUUGCUGUGUUUUCUGUUGCUACUUCUUUUCCAGGCAGACUCAGCCUUUAAGAGAAGACUUUAUUCUGACUUUUUAUACUAAUUCAUACUACGUCUCUCCGGAAGUCUAAGGACUUUUCUACUUGCUUUCAAUUGAGAAGUCACUCAGAUGGCUAACAUCUACAAAUCUCAAAUCUUGUAAAUAAAUGCAUGUUUAGAUAGGAGUGUAAAGACUUCAUUACCUUAUAUUCGCUCUUUAUUAACUAUUUGCCACAUCCCACGUGACAACACUAGAAUUUCUAUUUCUAACACCAUGAAUUGUAUAAGUAACAUGUUUUUUGUUUUUCAGUUUAUAUUGACUGAUAAAAUACAUAGGACCAGAUUUGUUCCUGUCUACCACAAAUAUUUAUAUCAUCAUAUAAUUCACUUUUUAGCUUUCUUACCUACAGUUCUCUGUCCUCACACUUGUUUUACUUCUAUUCCAUUUUUAUAUCAUGGUGCAAUCCCCCAAUUUAGCUUAACAUCCUGAACAUCCCAUCUGAGAACCAUUAAUCUAAAUAAUUUUGUCUAAAAUAAGGAUGUUAAUUUAAACAUAAUAUUUGGCGUAUAGCUAAAAUAAAAUUGGGUAAUCAAGUGGCAAAUGUUAAACUCUUACUAACAUGUAGCUUUAAAGGUUUAUUUUAUUGCAUUGUGUAAUAAAGAAAUGUGUGCAAUGCAAUUGCAUUGCACUGUAUCACAUUGUGUGCAUAAUUUGCAACAGAUAGAUUAUUAAAGUUAUUAAAGAGCUUCUACAUUGCUUUGUGUAUACAUAUAGAAAUAUUUUCAAGUACUAAAAUAAUAAUGAUGAGAAUGGGCUUGACAUAUAUAUUGCUUUUCAAUUUAACAUAUUUCUGAUGCCUAUAGUCAAAGAUAAAGAUUCAGGAUUUUACUUUAUGAAUAAUGUGAUGAUGAUAUAAUCAGAAUUCAUGUGGUUUCCAAAGUAGAUGACUCACAUCCAAAUUCCCAGUUCCCUCAGAGCACUGUUGGAGGCAUUCAAUAACAAACAAACAAAACUAAUAUCUGGUAUUUUUUUUAAUCAAAAAGUUUUGCGCAGAUUUUAGAUAACUACAGUCUAUUCAGUCCAGUCUAUGAUGAGGACAGAAAUGGACUUUUAGAGGAUGUUUUGUUGAGCGUGAAAUAAAUGCAGAUGAGAA
This 3582-nucleotide long non-coding RNA is filed under the name Homo sapiens (human). RNAcentral describes it as "HSALNT0393959". The record is from RNAcentral. Lineage: Eukaryota; Metazoa; Chordata; Mammalia; Primates; Hominidae.